GACAGAGGCCCCGAGCGUUAAUCGGAAUUACUGGGCUUAAAGGGUGCGUAGGUGGACCAGCAAGUGCUUUGUGAAAGCCCCCGGCUCAACCGGGGAACAGCGGGGCAUACUGCUGGUCUUGAGGAAGGUAGGGGCCGCGAGAACUGUAGGUGGAGCGGUGAAAUGCGUAGAUAUCUACAGGAAUGCCGAUGGUGAAGACGCGCGGCUGGGCCUUUCCUGACACUGAGAGACGAAAGCUAGGGGAGCAAAUGGG
RNAcentral lists this ribosomal RNA (253 nucleotides) under uncultured bacterium. RNAcentral describes it as "partial 16S ribosomal RNA". It matches the Rfam family "Bacterial small subunit ribosomal RNA", at positions 524 to 776 of the family's 1533-position model. The record is from RNAcentral.